Molecule: ribosomal RNA, 460 nt
Filed under: uncultured bacterium
Lineage: Bacteria
Description: partial 16S ribosomal RNA
Rfam family: Bacterial small subunit ribosomal RNA
Source: RNAcentral
CCUACGGGAGGCAGCAGUGAGGAAUAUUGGUCAAUGGACGAGAGUCUGAACCAGCCAAGUAGCGUGAAGGAUGACUGCCCUAUGGGUUGUAAACUUCUUUUAUAUGGGAAUAAAAUGUUCCACGUGUGGGAUUUUGUAUGUACCAUCUGAAUAAGGAUCGGCUAACUCCGUGCCAGCAGCCGCGGUAAUACGGAGGAUCCGAGCGUUAUCCGGAUUUAUUGGGUUUAAAGGGAGCGUAGGUGGAUUGUUAAGUCAGUUGUGAAAGUUUGCGGCUCAACCGUAAAAUUGCAGUUGAAACUGGCAGUCUUGAGUACAGUAGAGGUGGGCGGAAUUCGUGGUGUAGCGGUGAAAUGCUUAGAUAUCACGAAGAACUCCGAUGGCGAAGGCAGUUCACUGGACUGCAACUGACACUGAGGCUCGAAAGUGUGGGUAUCAAACAGGAUUAGAUACCCCGGUAGUC